This 301-nucleotide ribosomal RNA is filed under the name uncultured bacterium. RNAcentral's name for it is "partial 16S ribosomal RNA". It matches the Rfam family "Bacterial small subunit ribosomal RNA", at positions 509 to 807 of the family's 1533-position model. The record is from RNAcentral.
CAGUCGCCGCGGUAAUACGAGGGGGGCAAGCGUUGUUCGGAAUUAUUGGGCGUAAAGGGGGCGUAGGCGGUUCAGCAAGUCUCGUGUGAAAUCUUCGGGCUCAACCCGAAGUCUGCACGGGAAACUACUGGGCUUGAGUAAUGGAGAGGUGAGUGGAAUCUCCGGUGUAGCGGUGAAAUGCGUAGAUAUGCGGAGGAACACCGAUGGCGAAGGCAGCCCCCUGGGCCAACACUGACGCUCAUGCACGAAAGCGUGGGGAGCAAACAGGAUUAGAUACCCCCGUAGUCCCUGUCUCUUAUAC